Molecule: ribosomal RNA, 740 nt
Filed under: uncultured archaeon
Lineage: Archaea
Description: bacterial SSU rRNA
Rfam family: Archaeal small subunit ribosomal RNA
Source: RNAcentral
UUCCGGUUGAUCCUGCCGGACCCGACUGCUAUCAGAGUGAGAUUAAGCCAUGCGAGUUAACGUAGCAAUACGUGGCGCACGGCUCAGUAACACGUAGUCAACAUGCCCAGAGGACGUGGAUAACCUCGGGAAACUGAGUCUAAACCGCGAUAAGUGAGGAUUUCUGGAAUGGUUCCUGACUAAAAUCUAUAUGGCCUCUGGAUUGGACUGCGGCCGAUCAGGCUGUUGGUGAGGUAAUGGCCCACCAAACCUGUAACCGGUACGGGCUCUGAGAGGAGGAGCCCGGAGAUGGGCACUGAGACAAGGGCCCAGGCCCUAUGGGGCGCAGCAGGCGCGAAACCUCUGCAAUAGGCGCAAGCCUGACAGGGUUACUCUGAGUGACUUUCGCUAAGAAAGUCUUUUAGCACCUCUAAAAAGGGUGCAGAAUAAGGGGUGGGCAAGUCUGGUGUCAGCCGCCGCGGUAAUACCAGCACCCCGAGUGGUCGGGACGAUUAUUGGGCCUAAAGCAUCCGUAGCCGGUUCUGCAAGUCCCCCGUUAAAUCCAGCUGCUCAACAGAUGGGCCGCGGAGGAUACUACAGAGCUAGGAGGCAGGAGAGGCAAGCGGUACUCAGUGGGUAGGGGUAAAAUCCGUUGAUCCAUUGAAGACCACCAGUGGCGAAGGCGGCUUGCCAGAAUGCGCUCGACGGUGAGGGAUGAAAGCUGGGGGAGCAAACCGGAUUAGAUACCCGGGUAGUCCCAG